RNAcentral lists this long non-coding RNA (2578 nucleotides) under Arachis ipaensis. RNAcentral describes it as "long non-coding RNA (AIPA_LNC000715)". The record is from RNAcentral. Lineage: Eukaryota; Viridiplantae; Streptophyta; Magnoliopsida; Fabales; Fabaceae.
AUAGAUCUAACAAAAAACAAAAGUUCAGAAGUAAAUGGGAUACAUUGAUUAAGGGAAGUAUGUUUCCUAAUUUACCAAAAGAGUAGCAUCAUCUUCUCACCCACGAGAAGGAAUAGAGCAAAAUAGAAUCAAUUUUUGUUUUUGGUUAUUACACUACUUACACACCUACACUUUGAGGUUUUAAAAAAUUUCAUCCCUGUCUCAGCUAGGGUCUAAAUUUAGUGCAGCUUGAUUAAAAGACAACAUGAUUGCCCCUUAGUCUAGGCCUCCGCCGUAUAGAAUCAGCUUUUAUCUCUCACUUGAAUGGAGAUGUGGGCCGCUUCAACACACAUCCCAAAAAAUCUUCUUUUAUUUUUUGUUGAAGGCCAAUUUAUUCUUUGCUUUCUAGAUUUACCAGCACAAAUUUGCUGCUAAUUCUAUCUCUUCUGGUUAAUUGUGUCUUCUCCUCUUGUUUACCUUUACUAAACAUGACCACCAUUUUCAUGUUUUUUCUUAUUGUGUAGGAAAAUCAAGUUCUGAGAGUUUUAAUGCUUCUAUUGAAUCUGGACACUCAAAGAUGCAGUGAUCCAUCAUUUCUUCUUUUGUUUGGUAGUGAGGACAAAUCGGGUUAUGUGAUGCGAUUCUGGGUUGCAAUUUUUUGUUAAAUGAAAAGCCUUCAUGAACCAUCUUUCAGAUAAAAUUUUUGACUUUUGGUUGGCUCUUCAGCUUCCAUAUAUCCAACGAAAGCUCCUUCUAUUUAAAUUGAUCAACAAGGAACUCCCGGGAGGGUGGUAAAAAUGAAAGGCUAUUUGGUAUCCAGACACUACAGAGUAUCCACCAUUUCUUGUCCUCAUCCAGGUUAGUUGGUCUUUGCCUUCACAAAUAGGAGUAUUGAUAAUUGUCUCUACAAUUUUUUAUUAAAAAAAUUUUGGUAUUUUUUACUGGUUCCAUGUUCUGUUAGGUAAAAUUAGUUCUGAGAUCCGUUGAGAAAUUCUGUCUGUAUCUUGGGUAGCAAUAGGCGUAAUUGAAGUGUACUCUUUAACUCAUGAAUCUGUCUGAAUGUUCACAAUAUUUUUUCUAGCAAUUUUUUAGAUUAGUCCUUUUUCUAGAACUUUCCUACCUUCGAUGACACUUCUCCAACCCCAUGAUAGGUUAUUCCUUGUCUCUGCUCUCAAAAAGCUUGUGAAUCUGUAAUAUUUACUUCUAUAGACUUUGUUAGUUAGUAAAUUUGGCUUAGAAGGUAACCUCCAACCUUGUUUUGCCAGCAUUGCAAGGUUGAAAGCCUUUAAGUCUUUGAAAUUUAGGCUUCCUUGAUUUCUGGGUCUACAUGUAAUCUGCCAACAUAUCCAUUGCAUCUUGCACUCUCUGUUUUUUGCCCCCACUAAAAUUGUAGGAUAGUUUGUUGUAACUCCUCCAAUAAAGUAUCAGGCAACCUAAAACAACCCAGUGUAUAAAUGGGCACUGCUGUAGUCACUGUCUUUAUUAGAACUUCUCUACCAUUAGGAGAAAGUAGAGCAUGUUUUUACAGUUGGAAUUUUUUAUUGACCUUUUUUUAAUAUAGUUGAAAGUAGCUCUCUUGAACUUUUGUGAAAUAGAUGAUAAUCCUAAAUACUUAUUUUGAUUCUCGAUAUGCGGGACCAUAAGAAUGGAUGCUAGUUGGUCUUGGAUUUGAAGUGGAGUAUUCUUACUAAAGAAAAUAGACGACUUGUCUAGAUUAACCACUUGACCACCUAUACCCUCGUAAGUCUAUAAAAUACGAAGUAGGCCACGACAGUUGAUAAACUACUAUUUUAUGGUUUAUCUUGUGCUAAUUUGAGUGGUUUUUAUCAAGUCUUGGCACACUUAUUCAUACAAAUUGCAUGAUUAUACAAUUCCUUUCCAAUUUUGUUCUAUGGUUGAAAACUUGCUUCCUAAGCCUUUAAAUUGUGUAUUUUAAUUCCCCUUUAUACCAUUCGAUGUCGUGAUCUGUGUGUUAAGUGUUUUCAGGAUAUAUAGGGUAGGAAUAGCUUAAAGGAUGGAGAGGAAGCUUGCAAAAAUGAAAGGAACACAAAAAAAGUAGAUGACCAGCGAGCAUCAACGCGUACGCGUACCUCACGCGUGUACGCGAUCUGGGGAUUUUCACAGCGACGCAUGCGCGUACCUGACGCAUGCGCGUGACUUGGCGUAUUCCAUAGCGACGCGUGCGCGUACCUGACAUGUACGCGUGACAUGCGCCACGUGCAGAAAGUGCAGAAGACGCUGGGGGCGAUUUUGGGCUGAGUUUGGACCCAGUUUUCGGCCCAGAAACACAGACUAGAGCCAGAGGACAAGCAGAGACUCAACACACAUUCACUUUUACACAGUUUUUAGUUUUGGUUUUGAAUCUUAGAGAGAAAAUACUACUUCCUCUAGGGUUCUUCAUAUUCAUAGAUUUCUAGUUUUAUGCUUUUGAUUUGGAUAUUGAAAAGAGUUACUACCUCCGUUGAAGUUUCCAUUAUUCUAGUUUGUUCUCUAUUUUCCUUAUUCUUUUAAUCACCCAUUUACCCUGUUCAGAAUUACAUAUGGAUAUCUUUGAUUUUGGAAUUUAUUAAAGUAAAGAGUUAUUUUUACCUUUAAUUAA